RNAcentral lists this ribosomal RNA (850 nucleotides) under uncultured fungus. Its description in RNAcentral is "SSU rRNA". It matches the Rfam family "Eukaryotic small subunit ribosomal RNA", at positions 275 to 1129 of the family's 1831-position model. Lineage: Eukaryota; Fungi. The record is from RNAcentral.
GGCCUUGUGCCGGCGAUGGUUCAUUCAAAUUUCUGCCCUAUCAACUUUCGAUGGUAGGAUAGUGGCCUACCAUGGUUUCAACGGGUAACGGGGAAUUAGGGUUCUAUUCCGGAGAGGGAGCCUGAGAAACGGCUACCACAUCCAAGGAAGGCAGCAGGCGCGCAAAUUACCCAAUCCCGACACGGGGAGGUAGUGACAAUAAAUACUGGUACAGGGCUCUUUUGGGUCUUGUAAUUGGAAUGAGUACAAUUUAAAUCCCUUAACGAGGAACAAUUGGAGGGCAAGUCUGGUGCCAGCAGCCGCGGUAAUUCCAGCUCCAAUAGCGUAUAUUAAAGUUGUUGCAGUUAAAAAGCUCGUAGUUGAACCUUGGGCCUGGCUGGCCGGUCCGCCUCACCGCGUGCACUGGUCCGGCCGGGCCUUUCCUCCUGGGGAGCCGCAUGCCCUUCACUGGGUGUGUCGGGGAACCAGGACUUUUACUUUGAAAAAAUUAGAGUGUUCAAAGCAGGCCUAUGCUCGAAUACAUUAGCAUGGAAUAAUAGAAUAGGACGUGUGGUUCUAUUCUGUUGGUUUCUAGGACCGCCGUAAUGAUUAAUAGGGAUAGUCGGGGGCAUCAGUAUUCAAUUGUCAGAGGUGAAAUUCUUGGAUUUAUUGAAGACUAACUACUGCGAAAGCAUUUGCCAAGGAUGUUUUCAUUAAUCAGUGAACGAAAGUUAGGGGAUCGAAGACGAUCAGAUACCGUCGUAGUCUUAACCAUAAACUAUGCCGACUAGGGAUCGGGCGAUGUUAUCUUUUUGACUCGCUCGGCACCUUACGAGAAAUCAAAGUUUUUGGGUUCUGGGGGGAGUAUGGU